AGGAAAAGCAAAUACUUCCAGAUCUUCACAUUUAAUUCAACCAAGUGCACCAUCUCAUUCAAGUCAAUGGAAUCCUUCUGGUGGAUCAGAAUAUAUGGAUAACAAUCUCAUUUCAUAUGCUCAAAUAUUAAGAGGAUCUGUUGAUUAUUCCCAGUCCUCAGUGUUCUCUUCCCAAGUUGAAAACAGAAUAUGAUUGGGCUUAUUUGCCUCUUUUUUGCAUCAAGCUGAAUGUUUCUUAAGGACUAUUGAUAGCUAUUGAACAUCUUUUAAGUUAUUUUCCUCUUUUUGUAUCAAGCUGCAUAUUUUUUAAGGAUUAUUGAUAGCUAUUGGACAUCUUUUAAGUUA
Macadamia integrifolia is the source of this 345-nucleotide long non-coding RNA. RefSeq lists it as uncharacterized. The transcript has 2 exons. Lineage: Eukaryota; Viridiplantae; Streptophyta; Magnoliopsida; Proteales; Proteaceae. The record is from RefSeq and is a predicted model, not a curated record.